UGAAAACAUGAUAAAAGAUAAAGUGAUCUUAAUGAGUAUUUAAGCAGGCUGUAAGAAGGAGUGUCAAGAGGCAUAAAUAUUCGUAAGUAAGGAUAGAUUGAGAGGAGAAAUUCGAGUAAGGGAUACGGUGAACUGAAACAUCUAAGUAACUGUUAAGAAAGAUCAGAAGAGUUACUGGGAGUAAGGGCGAUAUAAACCAGUAAAGGUAAGAGAGAAGAGACAAGGAGAUCCGUCUUCAAGACCAUAGAGUACAGUCUAGCGAUAGAGUAGAGUAACGUGAGUGAAAGAUAACGAGUUGAGAUCAUAUAAGCAGAUAGAGUCUAAAGAGAUGAUAUUGUACCUUUUGCAUAAUGGCGGGUUAACUGAUUUAAUAUAGCGAGAUUCGAAACAAUGAGAAGAGUCCUACCGAUAAGGAGUAUAGUUAUAUAAAAGAGACCUAAAACGACGUGAUCUAAAGUUGAUCAGGAUAUGAAUUAGUCCGAACAAGUGGCUGUUGCAUUAGCCUUUGAGGAAUUGAUUUUAGUAGUGAAAAGCUAAUCGAACGUCGUGAUAGUUGGCUGUCUGCGAAACAUGUUAUAGCAUGACCUAUCAAGGAAGAGGGAACAGUACGAGUAUAGUAAAGAUUCACAGAAAGAGAAUAGGGCAUUAAUGAAUGUAUCUAUGUGAGUUUACCUCAGAAAAGUAUUGUUUAAGUGUGAUAGUUUCAGAAGUACGAUGAUAAGGUCGUAAGUCAAGAGGGAAACAGCCCAGAGUGUAAGGUUAAGGUUCCGAAUAAGCAGAAUAAGUAGUGUGAAGGAAGUAUGAGAUCAAUGGACAAUCAUGAGAUGUGACUGGAAACAUCAAUUCUUUAAAGAGUACGUAACAGUACAAUGAUCGUGAUGUGUAAUAUAUGUUAUGAAUCUAAGAAGCAUACUCCGAAGAUAUACGGACUUAAGAUAUAAACCGAGACAGCACUAAAUACUUAUAUAUGAGAGGAUAUAAGAUAUGUGAAGGUAGCAGACCGUUCCUGUAAGGAGUAGUUAAAUGUGUUUCAUAUUUAAUAUAUGGGGAGGAAGUGAGAAUGACUCGAUGAGUAACGCAAAAUGUAGAAACAUUCAUCUUAAGUCUAUGAUUUGCUAAGUAUACAGAUAUAUAGUGUAAUACGGUAUCUAAGCUGAAGCUAAGGAGCAUAAAGUAAUGAUAAAUGAGGGAGCAGGAAAAGAGGAAGACCGUAUCAAGCAACACAGCAAGACUGAUAUAAGAGUAUCAAGAUGAUAGCUAAAUACAUGUUAAGGAACUCGGCAAACUAGCUCUGUAACUUAGAGGAUAAGGAGUAGUAAAUAUAGGGUAGAUAGAGCCAGAAGAAGGUGAUAUAAUGAUAUAUAUACUCACAGAUAAUAGUAGGGUGCGACUGUUUAACACAAACACAGAGCUCUGCUACGGCGGAAGCCUAAGUAUAGGGUUUGACUCUUGCUCAGUGUCAAAUUUAGACUAAGAGAUAUAAAGUGUUUUAGGGGCGCUAGUAUCACUUAAGAAAUAAUAAGAUCAACAGCAGUCUUAACUAUAAGGAUUCAAAGGUAGCGAAAUUCCUUGGCCAUUAAAUGUGGUCCUGCAUCAAUAGAGUAACGAUGCUCUAGCUGUCUUAACAUGUAUGCUAGUGAAAUUGAAUUCGUCGUGCAGAUGCGACGUAUUCCCUGUAAGACAAGAAGACCCUAUGCAUCUUUACUGCGAAUGAUCAUGACAUGAGUAAGGUGAUAAAAUGUAAGAGUUUACAGUUUAUUGAGUGUUAGAGUCAAGGAAUAGACUUAAAGUGAUGAUAAGGCGGUUUCACUGGGACGGUGGCCUACAAAAAGAUAUCGUAGGCAUGCUAAAGGUAUGCUUAAGUUAGUAGGGAACUAACAUGUAAUGAGAGGCAAGUGAGAGCGCAAUAGUUAAUGCAUGCUUAAAUAUGAGGGACAACAAUAUUCAUAUUCUCUAAUCUAAGAAUGUAGAUUAGAGUGCUAUAGUGACCCUGUCACAUGUAUCGGAUACAGUGACAGAACAACGGAUAAAAGAUACGCUAGGGAUAACAGGGUUAUUGCCGAUGAGAGAACAAAUCGUCUCGGCACUUUGCCACCUCGAUGUCGGCUCAGCACAUCCUACAGGUGAAGAAGCUUGUAAGGGUUAGACUGUUCGUCUAGUAAAGUGCUACGUGAGCUGGGUUCAGUACGACGUGAGUCAGUACGGCUUAUAUCUUCAGGGGAGAGAGAUAAUAACUUCAUAAGAUCUCCUAGUACGAAAGGAUCGGUAGAUGGUGAUCCUCUGGUGUUUCUUUUGUUUUACAAGUAAUGCAUAGAAGAGUAGCUACGAUCAAGGAUUUAAGUAUUGAAAGCAUAUCAAAUACGAAGACCGAUGAAGUAUUAUAGAACGUAUAUAUAAAAUAUAUGGAGUAAAGAGGAUGACUACCUCUAAUAUUUAUAUAUGUAUAUAUAUAUUAAAAAAUUAAUAUAGGCAGUAAGUAAUAUGUUCGAAUAAACCAGCUUAACUGUACUAAUGUAUACUAACUUUUAUCAUGAGCAUA
This 2539-nucleotide ribosomal RNA is filed under the name Phakopsora pachyrhizi. RNAcentral describes it as "LSU rRNA". It matches the Rfam family "Bacterial large subunit ribosomal RNA". The record is from RNAcentral. Lineage: Eukaryota; Fungi; Basidiomycota; Pucciniomycetes; Pucciniales; Phakopsoraceae.